This is a long non-coding RNA of Triticum dicoccoides, 874 nucleotides long. RefSeq lists it as uncharacterized. Lineage: Eukaryota; Viridiplantae; Streptophyta; Magnoliopsida; Poales; Poaceae. The record is from RefSeq and is a predicted model, not a curated record. The transcript is spliced from 3 exons.
CCCCUCGCUUCCUAUCAGUCACUUGUGCCUCUGCUUCAGUCCGGUGUGUCUUCUCCUCUCCCUACCGAUAGUUGGGGUUAAUGGAUGUUCUUGCUAGAUCUGCUCCCUCUGCUUAUUCUCAUCCCUGUGGUUGUUCUUAUGCUUUUCUAAAGUGAUUUUUGUGCUUUUUUCUGUUUGCGGGAUUUGGGAAUCAGGGGAUCCUUGGCAGACGGAUUAGUUCUGCUACAUCUAUCCCCUUCUUCAGGUAUGGUUUGCCCUGUUUGUUGUUGUCCUGGUGCUCCAUGCUUUCUGUUUGUGCCAGCCGAUGAAGUCCCUGAAGUUUUCGAUGUCGUCCUUGAUGAAUAUUGCUCUAGGAGGAUGAUCUGCUGCUGUUGGUUUGGUGGAUUGAAGGAGAAGGUAGCUGCUAGCAAGAAUCGUCUGGACAAGUUGUUCAGAAACAUCAGAAGACAAGGGGAGAUCUGAGCUUUCUUUCUUUUCCCAUUGUGGCAGUUGUGUGGGUGUCGAGCAACAAAGAAGAGGAGGCAAGGGAGAAGCCCUAGUGAGCUGUACGAUAACUGGAUCUUUAGCUUAGCGGGUUCAGGCCUGUUUUCUCUCUGGGCUAAAGAAAGAGCAGAAGAAAGAAACAGAAUGUUCUGAGGCUUUCUUUCUAUUGGGCUGACUGACUGACAAUAGUUUUGGGUCAGUCAGUUUUCUUUCUGGGUUGCAAUCUUUUCCCUUUGUUAACAUUCGACUGACCACCUUUUGAGCCAGUCGAUUGAUCUGUAGCCACUCCCGCUUUGCACACUAGCUAACUGCAUCUGUAAAUAACAGAAUAAGAAACUGAGACACCUUGUACUAUGUUGUUGAACAGAAACUGAACAUUUGAGCUGUAGCA